GCUAAAAAUGAGCCCCAGCGUAGUGGCAGCCGGCCCCCACGGUUAGCGUAUUUACUCCGAACACAAAAGAUCAAACAGAGGCAAGGCGAGCACAGCUUCAUUUUAUCAAGAGAGAACAGCGAGAGAGAGAGAGGAGAGAGAUGGAUCCAGACGCAGUUGCAAAGGCAUUUGUGGAGCACUACUACACGACAUUCGAUAUGGACAGAUCUGGUUUAAGUAAUUUGUAUCAGGACAACUCUAUGUUGACCUUUGAAGGUCAGAAGAUCCAGGGGAAUGCUAAUAUAGUAGCUAAGCUGGUUUCACUGCCGUUUACGCAGUGUAAACACACCAUUACUACUGUUGAUUGUCAGCCUUCUGGUCCUGCUGCUGGUAUGCUUGUGUUUGUUAGUGGUACUCUUCAACUUGCUGGUGAACAACACGGUCUCAAGUUCAGUCAGAUGUUCCAUUUGAUGCCUACGCCCCAAGGAAGUUUCUAUGUGUUCAAUGACAUAUUCCGCUUGAAUUAUGCUUGAAGUUUAGGGAUGUAUGUGAAUCCAACAAUUACAUUAUUUGUGUCCAGUAACUAAAGAAGUUAUCUGGAAGGUUAUAUACAUUUAGAUGUUCCAUUUGAUGCCUACGCCCCAAGGAAGUUUCUAUGUGUUCAAUGACAUAUUCCGCUUGAAUUAUGCUUGAAGUUUAGGGAUGUAUGUGAAUCCAACAAUUACAUUAUUUGUGUCCAGUAACUAAAGAAGUUAUCUGGAAGGUUAUAUACAUUUAGGUAUUGAGAGAUGCCGAAAGAUAUUCCUACUAAAAUGUUUUCUCCAUUUAUUAAAGCUAUUCUCGUCUUAUC
Molecule: RNA transcript, 829 nt
Organism: Daucus carota subsp. sativus
Lineage: Eukaryota; Viridiplantae; Streptophyta; Magnoliopsida; Apiales; Apiaceae
Gene name: nuclear transport factor 2B
Exons: 3
Source: RefSeq, a predicted model, not a curated record